GGGUUGUGAGGUUAAGCGACUAAGCGUACACGGUGGAUGCCCUGGCAGUCAGAGGCGAUGAAGGACGUGCUAAUCUGCGAUAAGCGCCGGUAAGGUGAUAUGAACCGUUAUAACCGGCGAUUUCCGAAUGGGGAAACCCAGUGUGAUUCGUCACACUAUCAUUAACUGAAUCCAUAGGUUAAUGAGGCGAACCGGGGGAACUGAAACAUCUAAGUACCCCGAGGAAAAGAAAUCAACCGAGAUUCCCCCAGUAGCGGCGAGCGAACGGGGAGGAGCCCAGAGCCUGAAUCAGCAUGUGUGUUAGUGGAAGCGUCUGGAAAGGCGCGCGAUACAGGGUGACAGCCCCGUACACAAAAGCGCAUGUGCUGUGAGCUCGAUGAGUAGGGCGGGACACGUGGUAUCCUGUCUGAAUAUGGGGGGACCAUCCUCCAAGGCUAAAUACUCCUGACUGACCGAUAGUGAACCAGUACCGUGAGGGAAAGGCGAAAAGAACCCCGGCGAGGGGAGUGAAAAAGAACCUGAAACCGUGUACGUACAAGCAGUGGGAGCACAGGUUUACCUGUGUGACUGCGUACCUUUUGUAUAAUGGGUCAGCGACUUAUAUUCUGUAGCAAGGUUAACCGAAUAGGGGAGCCGGAGGGAAACCGAGUCUUAAUUGGGCGUUAAGUUGCAGGGUAUAGACCCGAAACCCGGUGAUCUAGCCAUGGGCAGGUUGAAGGUUGGGUAACACUAACUGGAGGACCGAACCGACUAAUGUUGAAAAAUUAGCGGAUGACCUGUGGCUGGGGGUGAAAGGCCAAUCAAACCGGGAGAUAGCUGGUUCUCCCCGAAAGCU
RNAcentral lists this ribosomal RNA (835 nucleotides) under Salmonella enterica subsp. enterica serovar Newport. RNAcentral's name for it is "partial 23S ribosomal RNA". It matches the Rfam family "Bacterial large subunit ribosomal RNA", at positions 1 to 867 of the family's 2925-position model. The record is from RNAcentral. Lineage: Bacteria; Pseudomonadati; Pseudomonadota; Gammaproteobacteria; Enterobacterales; Enterobacteriaceae.